GGGACUCAGACCUGGAUGCUGUAACGGAAGCCUGCCUGCCCUACCUCGGCUGCAGACAGCCACCCAAACUGCAAGAGACAUGUCUCAGCCUGUGGAGCUGAGUGGGAUGGGCCUUAAGAAGACCGAGUACACAGACAACAUCCUGAAACUCUUGGGAGGAUUUUGGGUUACCUCUGGACACACAGCCAGCAGCAAUAGAGAUCCAGUGAUCUGCACCAAUAAACAGUUCCCCAGUCAUCCACCCGACUGUCCCCAGGCGGAGGAAGGAACACUACACUGACGACAGCCACAGCACAGCACAGCGUGUCCUAGUCUUCCCCAACCUCUUUUCAACAUCCUAUAGUUUAACAGUGACUUUGAAACACAUGUUAAGUGCUGAUUCUGUGCAAGUGGUGUGUUGGGUAAAGGUGUACAUAUUCCAAUGUGCUCACAAGGGAUGGACUAAAGGCCAGUAUUUUGAAUGUUAAAGUAGUAAUUAAUAGUCUUUAUUAUAAUAGAUUUUUUUUUAAUGCCUGACCUUCAUUGUAACUGCUUAGCCUUUUAUACAAGUAGAUAUAGCAAUCAAUGUCAAUUUUGACCUUUUCCACCAUAAGUAGAAUGACAGAGCUUUCAUUUUUCCUUCCAUUCCAGCUUCAAAUUCACAUCUUGGUUCCAUUCCUCUAAUAACCAGACGUCAUGGUCAUUCCACACAAACCUCCCAUUGAUUCACACAGAAUAGAUCUGCUACUUGCUGCACAAAUGCCUGAUUGAAAGUUGUAGCAUGAUUUUGAAUACAACUUGAACUCCCCUGAGGGUUCAAGUGUAGGUUACAGCCCGGGCUUGUUUGUCAAGUCUUGUUUAGACUGAGGGGUCUGGAAGAAUCUCUGUGACAUCAUAAUGAAUGUGCGUGCCGGGGAAAUGGGAACAGGGUUGCCACGUGUUUUGCGUUGGCGAGGGAGCACUUUAUCUCCUCCGUACUUUGCUAUUUAUCCUGCUGAAAAUAGCGUCAUUACUCAUCAACCAUGGAGGGCCUGUCUGGCAGCCCAUAAAAACACAGCCAGGGAUAGGAUAAUGCGCUAUCCCCAAAACCAGGCUUUUUAUUCUGUUAAUCAUCAAAUCAUCUGACACAAGCAUGGCUUGACUGAUUAGGCAGGCACUGCUUGGCACACCAAUGGAUAGAUAAUACAGUUCUGAGAAAAUGACAUACUGUAAGACCGAAUGUGUUGAUUGUUGCUCAGGAUACAUGGGCGUGAGGAAGGAGACUGGUGAGAAAAUGACAUACUGUAAGACCGAAUGUGUUGAUUGUUGCUCAGGCUACAUGGGCGUGAGGAAGGAGACUGGCGAGAGAAUGUGCGACUGCCUUAUGAGGUAACUGUGAUGGAGUAUUCUGAAUUUUAAUAAUACAAAUCAGUGUGUGUUCACAUAUGAAUGAUAGCAAGGUCAGACGUCGACUUUUCAGGAAUGUAAUACAAACAUUUUCGAUCUAUCAUCGUCUCAAGGGCUUACAUAUUACAGGUACUGAAUUAUUAAAUAUAUUCUGAAGGCUGAUCACAUUCAAGUCACAAUAGAUAGGUUCAUGUACACUUUAUUUAAUUUGAUGAAGGCAUAAAUUUAGUGCGAGACCAACAUCCUAGAAGACAUUCUAAAAUGUACAACAUUUUUACAAUGAUUUCUUACAAAACAUCAAAGCAAAGGUUAGAGCAAGAAACAAUUCCAUUAUCCAUCAGGUCUUUCUCACAGCCACAUUAUCUGUUGGGAAAGCACAAAACACAAUGAACAGGUUUUACUUUAUAAACAUUGGUUUCCAUCCAGCUCUGGUUGGAUGGAAAUCUGGAUUUACCAUGGAGAAACAGCGAAUGAACUGCUCAGAAAACAAACCCAAAUGAAUAAAGCAACAAGUAACCCUUCCAGCUUAUACGUCCUCUUAGAUGAUUGAAAAAGUUAGUAAGAAAACAUGUUAAACAUGCACUCUUUAUCAUUAUAUACAGUAACAUGUACAGUGUAGACAAUCUAGAGCAGGGAUGGGCAACUGGCAGAUCAAACCCAAAACAAUGUAUUGAAAUAAAUAGGAACUCAUUUGGGGGAAUUGACUGUUGAGAGUUAGGUUGUGCAUCAGCCGUCUUUAUCUUAUGUCAGUCACUGAAACUCACUCAAUUAGCUACACAUUUUUAGAUUAGUUUAUGAGUCUAGCCAGCAAUCUAAACAUAGUAAUCAUGGCCCCACCAUCAAUUAUUUUUUUUGUCACUCUCACUCAGAUACAUUAACAUGACAUAAGUCAGAACACAAUGUGUAGAAUUGCAGGAAAUUAGCUUAAACACGGCUAAUAUGUCUCCACCCCAUGGCUAAAUAAGUAAAAUUGCAGGAAAGUAACUAAAACAAACCAAAAAUUCUCUCCAUUGUUAAAAGUGGGGGAUGCUAAAAUGUUUUGCUCGCAGGGUGGGGGGCCCCCCAACAAAAUGUA
This is a long non-coding RNA of Oncorhynchus nerka (sockeye salmon), 2440 nucleotides long. RefSeq lists it as uncharacterized. Lineage: Eukaryota; Metazoa; Chordata; Actinopteri; Salmoniformes; Salmonidae. The transcript is spliced from 2 exons. The record is from RefSeq and is a predicted model, not a curated record.